AUUGAACGCUGGCGGCAUGCCUUACACAUGCAAGUCGAACGGUAACAGGUCUUCGGAUGCUGACGAGUGGCGAACGGGUGAGUAAUGCAUCGGAACGUGCCCAGUAGUGGGGGAUAGCCCGGCGAAAGCCGGAUUAAUACCGCAUACGACCUGAGGGUGAAAGGGGGGGAUCGCAAGACCUCUCGCCAUUGGAGGGGCCGAUGUCAGAUUAGCUAGUUGGUGGGGUAAAGGCCUACCAAGGCAACGAUCUGUAGUUGGGCUGAGAGGAUGACCAGCCACACUGGGACUGGGACACAGCCCAGACUCCUACGGGAGGCAGCAGUGGGGAAUUUUGGACAAUGGGCGCAAGCCUGAUCCAGCAAUGCCGCGUGCAGGAAGAAGGCCUUCGGGUUGUAAACUGCUUUUGUCAGGGAAGAAAUCUUCUGGGUUAAUACCUCGGGAGGAUGACGGUACCUGAAGAAUAAGCACCGGCUAACUACGUGCCAGCAGCCGCAGUAA
This 498-nucleotide ribosomal RNA is filed under the name uncultured bacterium. RNAcentral describes it as "partial 16S ribosomal RNA". It matches the Rfam family "Bacterial small subunit ribosomal RNA", at positions 30 to 523 of the family's 1533-position model. The record is from RNAcentral.